UAGGGAAUCUUGCACAAUGGGCGCAAGCCUGAUGCAGCAACGCCGCGUGCGCGAUGAAGGCCUUCGGGUCGUAAAGCGCUUUUCUGGAGGACGAGAAGGGACGGUACUCCAGGAAGAAGGCUCGGCUAACUACGAGCCAGCAGCCGCGGUAAAACGUAGGAGCCUAGCGUUAUCCGAAUUUACUGGGCGUAAAGCGCGUGCAGGCGGCUUGGUAAGUUGGCUGUGAAAUCUCCCGGCUCAACUGGGAGGGGACGGUCAAGACUGCCCGGCUGGAGGCAGGGAGAGGGAGGUGGAAUUCCCGGUGUAGUGGUGAAAUGCGUAGAGAUCGGGAGGAACACCAGUGGCGAAAGCGGCCUCCUGGCCCUGACCUGACGCUGAGACGCGAAAGCUAGGGGAGCGAACGGGAUUAGAAACCCCGGUAGUCCUAGCCGUAAACGAUGUCGACUGGGCGGCGGUGGGGUAAAAGCCAUCGGUGCCGCAGCUAACGCGCUAAGUCGACCGCCUGGGGACUACGGG
Molecule: ribosomal RNA, 516 nt
Filed under: uncultured Chloroflexota bacterium
Lineage: Bacteria; Bacillati; Chloroflexota
Description: bacterial SSU rRNA
Rfam family: Bacterial small subunit ribosomal RNA
Source: RNAcentral